Molecule: ribosomal RNA, 253 nt
Filed under: uncultured bacterium
Lineage: Bacteria
Description: partial 16S ribosomal RNA
Rfam family: Bacterial small subunit ribosomal RNA
Source: RNAcentral
UAUGUAGGGGGCAAGCGUUGUCCGGAAUCAUUGGGCGUAAAGAGCGUGUAGGCGGCUCGGUAAGUCCGCUGUGAAAGUCCAGGGCUCAACCCUGGAAUGCCGGUGGAAACUGUCGAGCUAGAGUCCGGAAGAGGCGAGUGGAAUUCCUGGUGUAGCGGUGAAAUGCGUAGAGAUCAUGAGGAAGACCAGUGGCGAAGGCGGGUCUCUGGACAGUACCUGACACUGAGACACGAAGGCCAGGGGAGCAAACGGG